UGCAGUCGAACGAGAAACUUACUUCGGUAAGUGGAAAGUGGCGCACGGGUGAGUAACGCGUGGCUAACCUGCCCUUGGAACUGGGACAACCCUUCGAAAGGAGGGCUAAUACCGGAUAAUACCAAGAGCCUCAGGGCUCCUGGUUGAAAGCUCCGGCGUCCAAGGAGGGGGCCGCGUCCCAUCAGCUAGAUGGUGAGGUAACAGCUCACCAUGGCAACGACGGGUAGCGGGUCUGAGAGGAUGAUCCGCCACACUGGCACUGAGACACGGGCCAGACUCCUACGGGAGGCAGCAGUGGGGAAUCUUGCGCAAUGGGGGAAACCCUGACGCAGCAAUGCCGCGUAGGCGAAGAAGGACUUCGGUUCGUAAAGCCCUUUUAUCGGGGAAGAUAGUGACGGUACCCGAAGAAUAAGCACCGGCUAACUACGUGCCAGCAGCCGCGGUAAUACGUAGGGUGCAAGCGUUGUCCGGAAUCACUGGGCGUAAAGGGCGCGCAGGCGGAUCGGCAAGCGAGGGGUGAAAUCCCGGGGCUC
This 533-nucleotide ribosomal RNA is filed under the name uncultured bacterium. RNAcentral describes it as "bacterial SSU rRNA". It matches the Rfam family "Bacterial small subunit ribosomal RNA", at positions 56 to 610 of the family's 1533-position model. The record is from RNAcentral.